CCUACGGGGCGCAGCAGUGAGGAAUAUUGGUCAAUGGGCGCGAGCCUGAACAAGCCAAGUCGCGUGAGGGAUGAAGGUUCUAUGGAUCGUAAACCUAUUUUAUAAGGGAAUAAAGUGUGGGACGUGUCCUAUUUUGUAUGUACCUUAUGAAUAAGGAUCGGCUAACUCCGUGCCAGCAGCCGCGGUAAUACGGAGGAUCCGAGCGUUAUCCGGAUUUAUUGGGUUUAAAGGGUGCGUAGGCGGCCUUUUAAGUCAGCGGUGAAAGUUUGGGGCUCAACCAUAGAAUUGCCGUUGAAACUGGGGGGCUUGAGUAUGUUUGAGGCAGGCGGAAUGCGUGGUGUAGCGGUGAAAUGCUUAGAUAUCACGCAGAACCCCGAUUGCGAAGGCAGACUGCCAAGCCAUGACUGACGCUGAUGCACGAAAGCGUGGGCAUCAAACAGGAUUAGAUACCCCGGUAGUC
This 460-nucleotide ribosomal RNA is filed under the name uncultured bacterium. Its description in RNAcentral is "partial 16S ribosomal RNA". It matches the Rfam family "Bacterial small subunit ribosomal RNA", at positions 338 to 795 of the family's 1533-position model. The record is from RNAcentral.